Molecule: ribosomal RNA, 250 nt
Filed under: uncultured prokaryote
Description: partial 16S ribosomal RNA
Rfam family: Bacterial small subunit ribosomal RNA
Source: RNAcentral
UACGUAGGGCGCAAGCGUUGUCCGGAAUUAUUGGGCGAAAAGAGCUCGUAGGCGGUUUGUCGCGUCUGGUGUGAAAACUCGAGGCUCAACCUCGAGCUUGCAUCGGGUACGGGCAGACUAGAGUGCGGUAGGGGAGACUGGAAUUCCUGGUGUAGCGGUGGAAUGCGCAGAUAUCAGGAGGAACACCGAUGGCGAAGGCAGGUCUCUGGGCCGCAACUGACGCUGAGGAGCGAAAGCAUGGGGAGCGAAC